Non-coding RNA from Zonotrichia albicollis (white-throated sparrow), 5714 nucleotides. Lineage: Eukaryota; Metazoa; Chordata; Aves; Passeriformes; Passerellidae. The record is from RefSeq and is a predicted model, not a curated record.
CAUCCUUAAUUGUCUGAUGAAUGUAUGCAAUGCAUUCAGCCUGAAUUUUUGAGAGUUGAAGUUACAUUUUACCAAGCCACAGCAUUCUGUUUUAUGAAGCAGGAACUAUGCAAAGGACCAGAUAUUUUUUCCUUGAAAAAAAUUGCUCAAUUGUCAGAUUUAAUCUGAUGAUUUUAUUGUAUUGCCUGGAUUGGAAUGUACAUUGAACAUUCAAAAGGUUGCCAGAUACAGCACUGAGAGUGAAUGAAAAUGCUGUGCCUAUUCAGAACUCAAUACCUGGCCAUGCCAACCCAAAUAUUGGUCCUUGACAAGCCAGAGGUCUAGAAAACUUGACACAGUAAUUCAUAUUGGGAAGUUCUUCAUGACUGCUGCUGCAAUGAAAAGCAUCUCCUAUUUUUUCCAGGUAUCUUCCUGAUGCCUUAAGUUUAACUUUUACAUUUUUUUCUAUCCUGUACUGCAUUAGUGUAUAACUGAACUCCAUACAGAGUGUUAGUAAGCUCUCAUCACAGUUUGACAAGACAAAACAAUCCUUCCGGGCCUGAGAACCAGGGUGAUCACCACAGCCUCAGGCCCCAAAAAUAUAAACAAAAGUGAAUUGGGGCGAGCAAACUGGGGGAAUGUGACUUCAUUACCUGAAGUUGUAAUUGGACAAUUAACCCCUGAUAUGCAAAUAGACUACACUCGUAUCUGCCCAAAAAACUCAUGAUGGUCAUCCAUCUUGGGUAUAGCCUCUGUGGGGCUCCUGAACUGCCCAAGGUGUGUUUGUUAAAGGCCUUUAACAAAUGCUCACUUUAUUCUCUAACUCUGUCUUGCCUCUGUUAUAGGUAGCCAGUCCAAAUCAUCACUCUAAUGACCCACACAGUUUUGGGGGGGGUUACAGUGGUCUGUUUGUGAAGUUCUUGAGGAGAUGAAACACAUUUGGCAGUGUUAUUGAUCUUGGUCUAACCGUCUAUGUUAUUGAUGUUAUAUCAUACACUAACCAAAUAUAUUUGUAUCUUUUCAGAUUUGCUUUCUUAAGGUUUCUCUUUGUGGAUCCCCAAUGUGAUCUUUCAACUCAAGAAAUGACAGGAAUCAAGAGCUUGAGCUGAAUUAGGGCCUAUAGUUAGGUCUAGGGGUUCUGAGAGGAAGAGUACUUUUGCUUCUCUGGAACUCCUCAGAUAUCUUUAGGUUGUCUUUGUGUGCAAUACCAAGAAGAUAGUAAGAAUACAUUAAUUUUAUCAUAGGUGGACAGUAGGAAAAUGCUCAGCUUCCUUCAAGCCUUUUCCCACAUCCAGGGUAGCAUCCCUUAGAUAAAUGCACCUUGUCCUCUUAAAACCUUGUAAAGUUAAAGACCACAUGGCUACCCAGUUUCUGAACUAAGGUUGUUUGUUUCCAGACAGAAUGUAAGUCAGGAAAUCUCAAAAGAGUUGCUAUCUCAAAAGAGAAAACAUAUCAAUCAGCAUAUGUACAGGCAGUGAAGUUCAGUUUCCCUUUGGGCAUAGAGAUGAUCGGACAUCUAGGAAGGCCCCAACAUGAAGGAGAAAUAGACAAAUUUUAAAAUUUUGUCCAGAAGUCUCAGAAUUAAUCCAAUUUCUAGGAAACCUGUCUCUGUUUCCCUCAGUAAUUUCAUUAAGAAUUCAUUUGCCUAAUGUCAGUGAUUUUGUUGCCAUAGCCACUGUAAAAAAACCUGGAACUUCUUUUCUUUUUGUAGCUUUAGCUUGCGGGGAAAAGUUUGAGUUUCUAGUUGCUGGAAUCAGUAGGAAACCUUCUGUUACGCACAAGUUUUUCUUCUGUGUAAGGUAACAUGGGCAGCUGCUGGCUAUGACCACAAUACUUUUUGUCUGACAGUGAACUAUUUCUCUCCCACUUGAGUUCUUUUUGCUGCUGUUGUAAAGUGAAAACACAACUACUGUAGGGUGAGUUUGUUUAACAGUCUUCUAAAAAAUUACAAAUGAAUUGACAGAGUGGCAGGAAGAGGCUAAAAAUUAUUUAAGAAACCAAAGGAUAAUACACAGAGCAGGUUAGAAAAAUAUUUUGAAGACGCUCUUGAACUGAAUUCACAGACAUAACGUCUUGCCUGGGUGAUGAUACCUAAAAUGUGUCUAAGAUUUGGGCCAUGUAGAGCAACCUCAUAAAAAACUCUAAGCUCUCUAAUUGAGGAAGUAACUUGGAGAACAGGUGUCUGAGAUCUGCAGGCAAUGCUGUCUACGGGAGUUUGACGUCAAAGUUUGCCCAGUUUGUGUGCAUCAUAUAUGCAGAAUUUUUUAAGAAGUGGGUUAGAACCUUUCCUGUCUUUGCAGUGCCCAAGGGAUUUGCAUAUAUUCACGCUUCUAUAAAAACACCAAAGUAUUUCCUUAUAGUUAACUGGGUAGAAUUUGCACAACCUUAGAACUAAAUGCCAGUGCAUGCAUUUACUUUCAAAAAAAAGAGGACACUAAAAGAAAAAUAAAAUAACAUAAAAAAGAAAAUCAUAUCACAUAUUAAAGGUUAUGCAAAGCCUGAAAUAAGAGACAAAAAUAUCUACUGCUUAAUGCAGAACUUACAUCUUACAUGUUUAGGAAAGAACAAUUUUGACUUCUAUUGAAUCUGUCUGUCAUGUCUUAACUAACAAAACUAUGGUUUUUUUGUACUUUCUUUGUUCUUCAGAACAUUUUCUUGCUACAGUACUUUCUAUGCUCGGUCUAAGCCACCAUAAUAGAUUUUUUGCUCUGGUCUGACGGGAAAAUCAGGAAUUGUCACAAGACUGUAAAGCCCAUAGCCAAGAAAAUUAUCAGUGUACAGACUAUGUCAAGAACAACACAAGCAAAGGUUUCUUUCUAUUUCCUGGCAGAAUGUGCUUUUGUCACUUUCCUGCAUGGAGCCACUUUGUUACGACUAUUAAGAAACAUUGCAUGGGAUGCAGAAGUUGUAAAACAGAUGAAAUGGAAUAGUUCUGUAGAAGCCAGAUGUAUUUGUAGAGACAUUCCAAGUCCUAAAUACCAAUCUUCUAUCUGGCAAAAGUCAUUUAUGUGUGUAUAUGGUUCAAAGAAAAGAUAUUGACAAAACAAAAAUACUGGUAAUUUUAUAGUAUUACAUACACAGUUCAUGUGAGACAACGAAAUAAUUUUCUGCUCUCACUUUUACUUAAGAUACUAAAAUUCUCCUCAGGGCAAAGGCGAUCAUUUUUUGUCCUCCUGCUUCUGAUUCAGGGACAAUCAUAUAUAGAACAUGUUCUGACAGGGCAGUUCCAGGGACUGGGAAGAAUAUUUGAUGUUGAAACCAAUACUUAUCUGUUCAAACACAUCACCAUCAUUUGGCUUCUGUUUUCCACUGAAUUAGAAGGGUUUGCAGUGCUUAGAUUGGGCCAGGUGCUGUUGUGGUUUAACCUUAACUGCCACUCAGCCCUGCACAUCCACUCCUCACUCUCCCUUGGUGGGAUGAAGAGAACUAGAAGAGUAAAAGAAAGUAAAGUCAUGAACUGAGAUAGGGAAAGUGAAAGCCAUGCAUGAAAGCAAAGAAAAAUGAAGCAAGUAAAUUGCUUGGGGAGACAGAGCACCAUAACCCCUUCCUCUAGAUUUAUAUGCUGAGCAUGACAUCAUACAGUAUGAGAUCAGCUAACCUGACUACGUCUCUUCCCAAUUUCUUGUGCAUCUGCAGCACCCUGCUGAUGGAGUGGUGUGAGUAGCAAAAAAGGCCUUGGCAUUGUGCAAGCGCUGCUAAGCAGUAAUGAAAACAUCCCUGAAAUAUCAACAGUUUUCAGCACAAUUCCAGAAUGCAGCCCCAUACCAGCCGCUCUGAAGAAAAUUAACUUUAUCCCAGCCCAACCAGCACAAAGACUUCCUUAGUUCUCUUCUACAACAUCUGAGGCAGAAAGAAAACAUAACCUUCUUGUAUCUUUUCUCCUUCAAAAGCAAUAAAUGUCUUGAAUACAGUAUUGCAUUUCCCAAAAGAUUAUCCAUGAGUAUUUAGAAAAAAAUGCCGUGCUUCUUCUAAUACCCAAUUUAUGUCUUUUUUAUGUGUAGUUUACUUGCUCAACAGUUAAUACUUGGACAUUUGGUGCUCAUGAGCAACUGCUUAUCACUGUUAUGUCAGAGAGAGACUGUCACUGUAUAGUGUGAAAUUCUUUUUCCACUGACUUAGCAAAAACUUUUAUCAAUUCUUGAAGUAGAUCCAAACUUCACCUAUGUGUCUUGCACCUCAGAUAAAUUUUGCAUUUUCAUUGAGGAAGCUUACAUACAGAAUAUCUAGAUGUUUCAGUCAUCCCUGAAUCUCCUUUCCAGAUUAAAACCAAAUUCUCCUUACUUUUGCAUGACAUAUUUUAAAUGAGGAAGUACUCAAGGAAGAGACCAGUUAUAUGUCAUGCUGAGAAGGUCUGUACUAAGCUGUUACACUUCCAAAAUGUCUUGAUUUUCUAGGACAUCGUUGAACUAAAUAUAAACUGCCCCAGAACAUCUGUGUGAGAAGAAUAAUAAUACAUUGCACACAGCAGUAGUCUUGCUGGGAUGAAUUUUGAGCAGCAAUGCAGGGGAGAGGUCUGGUCCAGCAUGGACUGAAAACCUACAUUCUGAUGGUCCUGUAUAUGUUCAUUUUCCAGAAAUCUUUUUCUGUGAUCAAACAUGUGCAAGUUACCUUAAUCUAUACAGUCCUUUAAGUCAUCUGGGUCUUAUCUUUCUCAUGCAUUUUCCAUUACCAGAAUCAAUGCUUUCCUUUUGGUAUUUUUGAUUUCAUGAAUGAGUAGAAAAUUAUUCUUCUCUGACAAGUCGAAGUUAUUGCAUUAUUUAUGGCAAUUUUUCUUUCCCAUCACUUUUCUUAAGACAGUUCAUUUCAGAGCCCAUUUCAUACUUUUUUUGGUAAUGCACAUGAGAUGCUUUCUGUAUACUAUAAUUUUACUUUUAUUUCAGAUAAAUAUGGGUGGGUUUUUUGAUUUGGGUUUUUUUUUUGUGCUUCUAGCCAUAGAACAGUAACACAAAACCAAGAGGAACUGAUAAAUCACUAGUGUAUUAUUAGAAUAAGGAAAUAAUUUUUGAAUUGUAGCAAAUUUUUGAUGCAUUGUGUUCUACUUUAAGCCCUUUAAUUGUCUAUGUGUAUACACCUAUAUUUAAUUUUAUUCAGAUAAAUUUUUGGUAUGCAGUGUAAGGCUGCAUGGGUAUCUUUGGAGAACAUUCUUACUACCUGAAUGAGUGCCUCUUAAAGAUUAGCUCAGCUGGUUAAAGCCUGAAGGUAAAUACUCCAGAUUUUGGGUUCAAUUCCUGUAUUGGCCUUUCAUUUAAUGAUCCUCAUGGAUCCCUUCAACUAACACUAUUCUGUGAUUCUUGUAUUAAGACCAAACUUUAAUAAUUGCUGCAUAUUAAAUUUUCUGUUCUUACUCUGUAGUGCAUACUUAGAAUGGCCAUUAUUUGUGUGAUUCCUGAAUCUUUCAUAUUUAAGUGAGGAAUUUAUCCUGCUGCCUCAUAACCCCUUGUGAAUGCUAUGUUCCAUAAAAAUUUCCAUACUCUCCUCAGUGUAAAUAUAGCCUUAAUUCUAGUGCUGCUUGAAAACAAGGCAAAUGGGAUUUUUUUUUUGAUGUCUUACUCACAUAUGAUAAAUUCCUCUGCAGCUUCUGUGAGAAUAUAACUUCCGUUGUGCAAUUGAAUGUGUGUGCUACUGCACAGAUGAUACAAAUGUAUUGGACAUCUGUUUCAUGAACAAUGUCUUGUGCUUGACAGAAUGCGAUAUUAUGGAUGUAUUCCUUCAAAUAGCUUCAAAGCAAAAAUAAA